This is a long non-coding RNA of Tachysurus vachellii, 652 nucleotides long. RefSeq lists it as uncharacterized. The transcript is spliced from 3 exons. The record is from RefSeq and is a predicted model, not a curated record. Lineage: Eukaryota; Metazoa; Chordata; Actinopteri; Siluriformes; Bagridae.
GCUGGAGGAAGAGACACAGACGAGUCAGAAAUAGAGACUUUAAUUAUUGAAGCUUUGGUAUCUGUUAUGCUGCAGAGAACCACAACACACUCGUACAGGUGUCAGGCUGUGUUACUGCUUGUCAUACAAUACCUGGUAUUGUAAGAGCCACCUACACAUCUUAAUAAAGCUACACUAAGAGCCUACAUGAAGGAGAUUUAUCAGGAGUUACCCUGUCACUGAGAUCUGGUCCCUCGAUGGAGGCCUCUUCGAUCUCCUCACUGAUGCUCAGCUCAGUCUUUGAGUUGUGACUGUGGAAGAAUUGGAGGGAUAAUGCAUUGACAUGGUGAUGAAUUGGACAGUGAUGUCAACCCUCUGCCGCUGACAUGUCCCGAGCCGUCACACCCAGGUGUUGGGCAUGACAUUCCAUCGUUUUUUCCAGACUUCCAUGGAAAUGGAGCACCGUUCACAAAGCCAUCCUUCUGGCGCUUGGCCGCAAGUGGGCAGCCGGAUGCACUGCGAUGAGACGCGUACUUCCCAGUCACAUGACCCUGACCAUCACAACCAGGCACAGGACACCUGCAAUACAAUAAUGUACACAUGCUAACGUUGAUCUUUUAUUACAAACUGCAAAGAAGAUAUUCUUGACAUACACUUAAUUAAAAACCUACUU